Boleophthalmus pectinirostris (great blue-spotted mudskipper) is the source of this 347-nucleotide long non-coding RNA. RefSeq lists it as uncharacterized. NCBI's taxonomy places the organism in Eukaryota, Metazoa, Chordata, Actinopteri, Gobiiformes, Gobiidae. The transcript has 3 exons. The record is from RefSeq and is a predicted model, not a curated record.
GCUCCAUCGCUCUGAUUGUGGCUCUGAUUGUGGUCUCUGUUGCGUUCGUGGUGUCUGUUCUUGCCCUGGUGCUCGUGAGCUGCAAGAAGUUUGACAAACAAACUCCAGGAAGAGCUCUGUGCAGUCUGGACUCUCCUCAACACAACCAGGUUGAAGACAGUGUUACAUAUGCUGGAGUCAGGACAGGGCACCACAGCGCCACCAGCAGGGGGACCUCCAUCCAACCCAAAGAGGACACAGUACUGUAUUCUGACGUCAGAAUUAACAACAAAAGAAGAAAUAAGUAAUAAACAGUUAUGCCAAAUGUAACUCAAACAUAAUGUAAAAACAACAAUAAGAAUAAAGUU